GUUGUGAUUCGCUCUCAAAUUUGUAUCUUUGACUUAUUAAAUACAGC
Barnesiella viscericola DSM 18177 is the source of this 47-nucleotide non-coding RNA. Lineage: Bacteria; Pseudomonadati; Bacteroidota; Bacteroidia; Bacteroidales; Barnesiellaceae. The record is from Rfam.